UCUGUGAGAGGAUUGUGAGAUUGUGUCUGAGACGAGUAAAGUAAGUUCCUGAAUUCUGGAGCCGUUUUUUUGCUUCAUUCUACAUUAUUGUUGAGCAUCGCAUCAAAUUGAUUCAACAACACUUUUCCCAGUAGCUCAGUGUGGACUUUUAAGACUUUGAGUCUUGAGCUUGACUCAUUGACGUGGUCAGGUCUCUAUUAUCUAAGCAGUGAUGUACAGGAACUCAGCAGUGAGUUCAGAUGUCUAGUCCUCUAGUGUCUACUUCAUUAUUGUUGAUCAUCGCAUCAAAUUGAUUCAACAACACUUGGCCGACUGCAGCCCAGUAGCUGAGUGUGGACUUUUAAAACUUUUAGUCUUGAGUUUGACUCAUAUAAAUCAGGCAAUGGCGAAACGUUUGCGGUCACCUACUCCUCAAGCAGGUACUUCACGUGACGAUGACUACAUUUUGCUAUCUUCAACUCCCAUGAAAAGGAAUGAGACAUAUACGUCUAAUGCUCGGCAUGGAGAUUCCUGCUACCUUCGACACUGGCUACCUGGGGGGUCGACAUUGGCUACCCCGACACUGGCUACCCGACACUGGCUACCCAUAAGGUCGACACUGGGUACCCCGACACUGGCUACCCGACACCGGCUACCUAUAGAGGGUGACACCGGCUACCUAUAGUUGGCGACACUAGCUACCUCUUUUUUGCUACCCUGUUACAUUUAACAAGCAAGAAUCCCAUGGCCUUUUGUUUCUUGCCUGCAAUUACAUUCCUAUAUCCAACAUGAUGACCAAAUGCAAAUGGCGUGUCAAUUUCCUUUUUUAAAAAUCAGUUUCCCCUUAUUUUUACGAAUGCAGUACCCUUGAUUGAUCAUCAGGAAUGAUCAAAUUGCACAUAGGAAGUAAAAAACUAAUAUUGACUACGAGCAAUCAGUCAAGACAUGCCCACUGUCAAAUAUUUGAAUGCUGGAACUUUGUUUGAAUAUAAGGAAUAAUUUUGCUGAACAUGGGAAGGUAAACAUAUUGACUGCGAGUAAUCAGUUAAGACAUGCCCACUGAAAAUUAUUUGAAUGUAGGACCUUGAUUGAUUAUCAGGAAUAACUGAGUUAAACAUGGGAAGUAAACAUAUUGACUGUGAGCAAUCAGUCAAGACUAAAAAAAAAAUAAUAUUUUAAGCUGUCGAAAAAUGUCCUUACGGCUACGUGCGGACUCAACAUUGUACUUCCGUUAACGGCUGAUCUUACAAUUUUGAUGGAACAAGCCAUCAUGUCCAGCUACAAAUCAAAAGGAUUCCCUGAAGAACGUGACUAGCCAUAGUUUGCACUUAAAUCGUCAAGGGGAUUUCCAUGUCCGCUAAAUUUAUCUAACUUUAAAUUGACUGAAUUUAUUUUAGGUGAAUAAAGCCUGUCGUCGUGCUUGAAUGACGAUGAAAUUAUUUAUGAACGCAUGAACGCUGGAUGAACGCAGUUGAUUGCCUGACGAAGAUGAGUGCGCCGGAUACCUCAAUAUACCCCCUUUUCAUGAACGAAACCGUGAUUUGCGGCCGUAUUGACAGCAUUCCGGCGUUUCACUAGUAGGGGAGACUGGAGUAAGCCGGGACGGUUUUCGUUUCCCCUCUAUAUCUCCCAAACUAAUCAUUAAAUUAAUUUAUUAUUUUGUUUUUAUGUAUUCCAUACGGUAAUG
RNAcentral lists this long non-coding RNA (1666 nucleotides) under Daphnia magna. RNAcentral describes it as "uncharacterized LOC123477047, transcript variant X2". The record is from RNAcentral. Lineage: Eukaryota; Metazoa; Arthropoda; Branchiopoda; Diplostraca; Daphniidae.